RNAcentral lists this ribosomal RNA (423 nucleotides) under uncultured bacterium. Its description in RNAcentral is "bacterial SSU rRNA". It matches the Rfam family "Bacterial small subunit ribosomal RNA", at positions 359 to 773 of the family's 1533-position model. The record is from RNAcentral.
GAAUAUUGGACAAUGGGGGGAACCCUGAUCCAGCCAUGCCGCGUGUGUGAAGAAGGCCUUUUGGUUGUAAAGCACGUUAAGCGAGGAGGAGGCUACUCUGGUUAAUACCUAGAGAUAGUGGACGUUACUCGCAGAAUAAGCACCGGCUACCUCUUUGCGCGCACCCGCGGUAAUACAGAGGGUGCACGCGUUAAUCGGAUUUACUGGGCGUAAAGAGCGCGUAGGUGGACAAUUAAGUCAAAUGUGAAAUCCCCGAGCUUAACUUGGGAAUUGCAUUCGAUACUGGUUGGCUAGAGUAUGGGAGAGGAUGGUAGAAUUCCAGGUGUAGCGGUGAAAUGCGUAGAGAUCUGGAGGAAUACCGAUGGCGAAGGCAGCCAUCUGGCCUAAUACUGACACUGAGGUGCGAAAGCAUGGGGAGCAAAC